GAGUACCAGUACAUAAGGAAAGGGCCAGGUUCAAAAGUGACCCAGCCCAAAGAAAAUAACCAAAAUACAAUCAGACAACAACUACAGAGAUGAAAAUUCAUUUUGGAAAUAUCUUUGGAAAAGCAAGAAGCUUUUUUUUCCUAAAUCCUCAACUUCGGUGGAAUCUCUUCUUAAUGAUCAACGUGGUCAUCAGUUAGCUCUAUUGAAUCAUGUGAAAUGUUUCUUCUAUCUUAUCAGUUAUCCGCAACUGGAAUCCAUUCCGUUCAUCCAUCCUCUGCACAAAUCAGAUAAGUGUCUCUCCUUUCAAACUCAUAUAAACAUUGUCAUUUUCCUCUUCCUCUUAAUCGGUGGAUUGAAUCUCUAAUAAGAUUUAUACCACCACCAGAUCCUAAGUAAGAAAAAAGUGCUUAUAGAGAUUCAUCUGUUGUUCAUUUCUAUGCAGGUUAAAAUUACUCUUUCAGAUCUAAUUUUCCAAGGUAAAGAACCUAGUUGCAUGCUUGUCCUGCUUCGUAUCUAUUGAACACCUCAAAUCUCACAGUUGGUUGAAGGAAAAUCAUCUACUUCUUCCAUGAAUACUCCAUCUCUUCAAGGAGAAUCAUCUACUUAUUCCAUGAAUAUUCAAUUGGUUGAAGAAGAAUCAUCUACUUCUUCUCAAACUCAAUGGAGCUACGAUGUUUUUCUGAGUUUUAGAGGUGACGAUAUGUGCAGUAACUUCACUGGUCAUCUUUAUACCUGUUUGUGCCAAGUUGGAGUUAAUACUUUCCUAGAUGAUGAGACACUGAGAAAAGGCGACAUCAUUUCAACCAAACUUGAGAAAGCAGUUGAAGAGUCUAGGAUUUCUAUUAUUGUUUUCUCAAAAAGUUAUGCAUUGUCUAGUGUAUGUCAUUAGAAAUUUAUAUUGAUGAUGUUUCUAUUUCUGUGUAUGUCAUUAGAUAUUUGUAUUGAUGAUGUUUCUAUUUUUGUGUAUGUCAAAAAUAUUUUCAUCAAGAAUUCUGAAAAUUUUGCAAAAUGAAACCAUCAAAUUGAUCAUCA
This is a long non-coding RNA of Capsicum annuum, 1032 nucleotides long. RefSeq lists it as uncharacterized. The transcript has 2 exons. Lineage: Eukaryota; Viridiplantae; Streptophyta; Magnoliopsida; Solanales; Solanaceae. The record is from RefSeq and is a predicted model, not a curated record.